Molecule: long non-coding RNA, 370 nt
Filed under: Phascolarctos cinereus (koala)
Lineage: Eukaryota; Metazoa; Chordata; Mammalia; Diprotodontia; Phascolarctidae
Description: lncRNA (ENSPCIG00000011014.2)
Source: RNAcentral
AUCUUUUUAAACUGUAUUUAUAUUUUGAGUAUAUCUUGGUUGUAUUGACUCUAUGUUAUUAUGGAUUUUAACUUUUAAAAUGGCACAUAUCAAGCCUGCUAUUCCUAACCUCUUCUCUCUCCUCCUCCCCAGGUUCCUGUGGUCCUCUCAUUAGCCAUACUGCAGCCAGGGAAAUGACAGCCACAGAAGUACUGAAGAUUGGUUCAUUUUCCUGAGACUGGGAUGUGAAUAUGACCUACAGCUGCCCUCAAUUUCAGUGUCACAGAAAAAAAAAUUAACCCUUCCUGAACUCUCCACAGACCUGACUGGUAGGUGUAUGAGUUUCUUUCAUUGUCAUGUUCAUCACAGCACAUCGUAGUGAAUGUAGAUG